UACGUAGGGGGCAAGCGUUGUCCGGAUUCAUUGGGCGUAAAGCGCGUGUAGGCGGCCAGGUAGGUCCGACGUGAAAACUGGAGGCUCAACCUCCAGCUGUCGUUGGAAACCAUCUGGCUAGAGUCCGGAAGAGGAGAGUGGAAUUCCUGGUGUAGCGGUGAAAUGCGUAGAUAUCUGGAGGAAUACCGGUGGCGAAGGCGGCAUCCUGGACCGAGAUUGACGCUGAUGAGCGAAAGCUAGGGGAGCAAACGGG
Molecule: ribosomal RNA, 253 nt
Filed under: uncultured bacterium
Lineage: Bacteria
Description: partial 16S ribosomal RNA
Rfam family: Bacterial small subunit ribosomal RNA
Source: RNAcentral